Long non-coding RNA from Herpailurus yagouaroundi (jaguarundi), 1767 nucleotides. RefSeq lists it as uncharacterized. The record is from RefSeq and is a predicted model, not a curated record. The transcript is spliced from 2 exons. Lineage: Eukaryota; Metazoa; Chordata; Mammalia; Carnivora; Felidae.
ACCUGGUAGUAACAAUGGAAGUCAUAUUUUGUGUGCAUGUGAUCAAGUGUCUUCCCCACACUCCAUUCUAAAAAUAAAAAAGUUAUAACUCCAUAAAGGUUAAUGGCAUAUGAUAAGUAUCUUAUGUUGAGAGAAGGAAAGCAGAUAGGUGACCAAUUGGCGGGGUUUUAGCUUUGUCUGUUCUGCUAAGCCCCUGCGGUGCAGCAGAGAGCUAACCAUAACUUAAUACCGCAGGUCUAAGGGAAGGCUCAGAAGUUGGGGCACUGGUUUCUUUUAAGGGUGGGAGUGAGGAGCAGGGUGGAAAACAUGAGUUUACUGGAGUCUUUAAAAGGAGUAGCUGCCUUUGUCCACUCCCCUUACCUUACACCGCCACGUGACUGGACUUAAAUUCAGCAGAAAACAGAAGGUUUACCAUCUGCAGAAAGAAGUUGGGGCUAUGGACUGGUGGAUACCAGACACAGAAUCCCCAACUUUUAGCUGGACAUAUGACUGCUCAAAAAACAUCUAAAAAAAGAAGACGAAGAAGAAGAAAAUACAUCUCCCAGCCCAGCCUCCCUUGUAAGUGUGGCCACAUGAUUAAGUUCUAGAUGGCGGGAUGAGCUAUUUCCAGUGCCUUUGAAGAGGCCAUGUCUUCUUCCUUCCCUUUCUCCUUCUUAUAGCUGGAAAUGGGCAUGAUGACUAGAGAUCAAACAGGGCUCUUGGACCAUAAAGAUGCGGGAUGAUUUGCUGAGCAUUACAAAGCUACAAAAUAGAGCCUGAGUUCUUGACAAACUUUUUCAGUGUUCCAUCUCUGACAACCUACGUCUGGACUUCUUUCAGAUGAUAAAAUAUCUUGUUUAAGUUAUUUUUAUUUUAGGUCUCCUGUUACAUGCAGCUGAAUGUAAUCCUAAAUAGUUGUUUAGAAAUAUAAAGAGAAAUAGCAAAAGGGACAGACUCAAAAUAGGCUCAAGAUGAAAAGCUGAAUAGAUCAAUCCUCAUAGGGAAAAAAAAAAAUCAAGUGGUAGGUGUGCCAUUUUUUAAGUUACUAUCUUGUUUCAAACACUCUUGUCCUAUGUGGUGAUGAGGCUGGAGCUCUGCAGACUACAUUUCUUACAUGGGAUUAGGAGUAGGGAAAGGUAUGGAGAAGAGUGUUCCUCGAAGAGGAAAGAGCAUGUGCAAAAGGCUGGGAAAAAAAGGAAUUUGGUUUAUUCAGGUAAAAAAUACAUUAGGUCUAAAAAAAAAUUAAGUGUACAAUGCAUUGCUUUUUAAUUCCUUCACAAAAUUGUGCAACCAUCACCACUACUGAAUUCCAGAACAUUUUCAUCAUCCCAAAAAGAAACCCCAUAACCAUUAGCAGUCACUCCCCAUUUCCCCUUCUCAUCUCAUCAGCUGUACCAACCACUAACCUACUUUCUAUCUCUAUGGCUUUACCUAUUCUGGACAUUAUUUCACAUAAAUAGAAUUAUACAAUAUGUGACUUUUUAUACCUAGUUUCUUUCACUUAGCAUAAUGGCUUUAAGCUUCAUCUAGGUUGUGCCAUGCAUCAGUAUUUCAUUGCUUUUUCUAAAAGGCCAAAUAUUCAAUUGUAUGGAUAUAUCACAUUUUGUUUAUCCAUUCUUCAGUUGAUCAACAUUUGGGAUGGUUCUACCUUUGGACUAUUAUGAAUAAUGAUGCUAUGAGUAUUUGUGUACAACAUUUUGUGUGGAUGUAUGUUUUCAUUUCUCUUGGGUAUAUACUUAGGAUGGAAUUGUUUGGCCACAUGGCAACUCUAUGCUUAACUUUUUGAAG